UAAUACAGAGGCCACAAGCGUUAAUCGGAAUCACUGGGCUUAAAGGGUGCGUAGGCGGACCGGAAAGCGUCCUGUGAAAUCCCCCGGCUCAACCGGGGAACUGCAGGGCGAACUGCCGGUCUCGAGGCAUGUAGGGGCGGGUGGAACAGUAGGUGGAGCGGUGAAAUGCUUAGAUAUCUACUGGAACGCCGAUGGGGAAGCCGACCCGCUGGGCAUGUCCUGACGCUGAGGCACGAAAGCGUGGGGAGCAAACAGGAUUAGAUACCCUGGUAGUCCACGCCGUAAACGAUGCGCACUAGACCGGUGCGGCUCUGACGCCGUAUCGGUCGUAGUAAAAACGAUAAGUGCGCCGCCUGGGAAGUACGGUCGCAAGGCUA
RNAcentral lists this ribosomal RNA (377 nucleotides) under uncultured bacterium. RNAcentral describes it as "bacterial SSU rRNA". It matches the Rfam family "Bacterial small subunit ribosomal RNA", at positions 521 to 896 of the family's 1533-position model. The record is from RNAcentral.